GGUCCCACGCACCGAGCUGCAUCUCCCCGUGACACAGCGCGGCCGCCGCGGAGGGGGUGUUCUGUCCCGGGGGCCCUGGCACGGCAGGCGUGGCACCGGGAGGACACGAUCUCCCUGUUCUCAGGCGUCGUGGUGCUGCAGCCCCAUCCCUCUGCCCGGUGGGAAUGCGAGGGGUCCAGGCUGUGCUCGGCUGGGAGAAGGUCUGUGGGAGGCUGCAGGGGCCCAGGGUGUUGGGCACCACGAGUUUGAUGCCAUUUCAUUCAUAAGAAUUUACUUUUCUGCAAGGAUCCAUCUGCCAUGGGUUAUCACUCACCCCGGGGCUGCAGGAUGGGGUACCCAGGCAUUAGGCUUAGCAGAGGUGGGAAGAUGGGUUGAUGAGAAGUCCAGGACUCCUCCCAAGGGUCUAGUGUUUGGGAAUCAGGCCCUGGCAGUUGGCCAAGGUCAGCACUGUUGUCACUGUGUUCGAUCUGGGCCUGGCCUUGACCCCUGGGCAGUGCUCUUGGCUCCAGGUUAAUCAGCAAACAGAGGUCAGGUGUCCUGUGCACGUGGGGAGAGUGAGCUGUGACGGGGAGGGGAGAGCAGAGCACGGGCCAGGGGUGGGACUGUGUUGGCAGGACAUGGGAUGGGUGUCCAGAGGUGUAGUGGUGUGACCUGGAGCCACACCCUGCUCCAGGGGUGGCUGAGACAGGGUGGGGAGCAGGUCCAGCAGCUGGUACAGCCCGUGAGACUGGGUGGGAAAGCACAGGAGUCACUGUGCAGGGAUGUGGUUACAUGUCUGGAGGUCUGGGGGAGUGGAGGUGGCUCUGGCCACUCCGACUGUGCCGCAGUUCCCACUGGCAGACACUGGUCCAGCCAGGGCCAGGAUCUCACCCCCUCUGAGCCAUACAGGGGGGUCAGCAGGGCCUCUGGGGCUCUCAUCCACACCCUGAGAGUAGAGGGGUUGAGUCCCUCUGCAGGAGAAGGAGAUGGGGAUGCUUCUCAGGGAUAUUGUCCCCAACCCUGCUGAGAUAAAGAGAGGAGGGGGUGCUGCACAUACCUGCUGCCAGCACUGCCCAGGGUAAGCCUGGCACGGGUGUUGGAGGGGAGAAACAGGCUUCCACAGGAAGGGACCAAACAGCAACCUCGUUGGCAAGAGAGAUUUAUUGAACAUGGGUCGAACCCAAAGGCAGGGGGACCAGAUUCCAGCAGGAAACACACAGGGCCUUCAGGAGGGGAAGCCACGAACCCCCGAGUGAGGAGAAGCCCCUGCCCCUCACAUCCAGGCAUCUGUUCCUCCUCCCUCCUCCCUCAGCAUUCUCAGGGAGCUCGAGGGACCUGCAGGACUCAAAGUACAUCUCUGUCCUACAGGUGGACUGUUUCUGGGGUGUGUCCCAUCCACACCCCAUGGGGCAUCCCCAGGUGAGAGGAAGGAGGAGAGCACCUCGAGUCCCGCCGAGGAGUCCCAACGAGCCCCAGCUCAUCGAGGAGCCAUCAGGAGGACCCACAACACCCCCAAAAGGUCACAUUUUUCCACCUCCAGGGCCUGAGACAGAGACUCCAACAGAGAAGCACAGCAAGGGCUUGGCUCAAGUCGUUCCUGCUCAUCCCUCUACUCAGAUUCCUGCAUCCAUGGACAACCUCCUGCUUCAAGUGGGCAGCACAGCGCUGGGAAUGCUUUUACCUGGAGAGCUCUAAGCUCCUGUUCCUUCCCAUCUUGGAGGCUCCAGAGGUGGAUAUUCCAUAUGUUGGAUGCACAUUUUGGAGCCAUCUGGGAUAGAUGCAAGAUCUUCAUGAGGAAAAAUCCACGGAGGAAUUCCUGGCUCUUUCCAGUUGCCAUCUCAGAGAAAACCAUGCAGAGAGUCAGACUCUUCAUUCUUCACGGAAUCAUCUUUAUUUAACUAUUAAAAUAAAAUAAUUUUGGGUUCAGGUGAGGGAAAUUUUAGUAUAAGUUAAAAAUCAGGUUCAGCAGGGAAAAAAGUUUCACAUAAUUAUUUUUUCUCAAUAAAGAUUAUUUUGAGCCAGU
Molecule: long non-coding RNA, 2002 nt
Organism: Pseudopipra pipra
Lineage: Eukaryota; Metazoa; Chordata; Aves; Passeriformes; Pipridae
Exons: 3
Source: RefSeq, a predicted model, not a curated record